CCUACGGUGUGCAGCAGUGAGGAAUAUUGGUCAAUGGACGCGAGUCUGAACCGGCCAAGUAGCGUGAAGGAUGACUGCCCUAUGGGUUGUAAACUUCUUUUAUAUGGGAAUAAAAUGUUCCACGUGUGGGAUUUUGUAUGUACCAUAUGAAUAAGGAUCGGCUAACUCCGUGCCAGCAGCCGCGGGAAAAACGAGGAUCCGAGCGUUAUCCGGAUUUAUUGGGUUUAAAGGGGGCGUAGGUGGAUGGUUAAGUAAGUUGGGAAAGUUUGCGGGUCAACGGUAAGAUUGCAGUUGAAACUGGCAGUCUUGAGUGCAGUAGAGGUGGGCGGAAUUCGUGGUGUAGCAGUGAAAUGCUUAGAUAUCACGAAGAACUCCGAUUGCGAAGGCAGUUCACUGGACUGCAACUGACACUGAGGCUCGAAAGUGUGGGUAUCAAACAGGAUUAGAUACCCCUGUAGUC
This 460-nucleotide ribosomal RNA is filed under the name uncultured bacterium. Its description in RNAcentral is "partial 16S ribosomal RNA". It matches the Rfam family "Bacterial small subunit ribosomal RNA", at positions 338 to 795 of the family's 1533-position model. The record is from RNAcentral.